This 576-nucleotide ribosomal RNA is filed under the name uncultured archaeon. RNAcentral describes it as "bacterial SSU rRNA". It matches the Rfam family "Archaeal small subunit ribosomal RNA", at positions 326 to 897 of the family's 1478-position model. The record is from RNAcentral.
CGGGGUGCAGCAGGCGCGAAAACUUUACAAUGCUGGAAACAGCGAUAAGGGGACCUCGAGUUCCAGGUUACAAAUCUGGCCGUCAUGAUGCCUAAAAAGCAUUGCAUAGCAAGGGCCGGGCAAGACCGGUGCCAGCCGCCGCGGUAACACUGGCGGCUGGAGUCGUAACCGUUAUUAUUGGGUGUAAAGGGUCUGUAACCGGCCGGAUAAGUCUCUCGGGAAAUCCAGCAGCUCAAAUGGAGGGUCUUCCGGAGCUACGGUGUGCCUCGAACCUGGCAGAGCUUAGAGUUUCAUCAGGUGUAGGGCAGAUAUCUCAUAAUCCGCGAAGGGACUAUCCCGAGGCGAAGGUGCUAUCACCAGAACGGACCUGAUAGGCAAGGGAAGAAAGGACGGCGCACGAACCGGAUUAGAUACCCGGGUAGUCGUACGCCGUAUACACGAUCACCUCCCUAGGUGUCGAACACGGUGCCACCUUAGUAAAUGCAGUAGGGAAACAGUGAAACGAGCCUCCUGGGAAGUACGGCCGCAAGGCUGAAACUUAAAGGAAUCGGCGGGCGACCACAAGGGCGAAUCGCG